GCGAGAGUGGCGGAAUUGGUAGACGCACUGGCCUUAGGAGCCAGCGGGUGACCGUGAGAGUUCGAGUCUCUCCUCUCGCA
RNAcentral lists this transfer RNA (80 nucleotides) under Desulfoplanes formicivorans. It matches the Rfam family "tRNA". From Rfam's summary of the family: Transfer RNA (tRNA) molecules are approximately 80 nucleotides in length. Their secondary structure includes four short double-helical elements and three loops (D, anti-codon, and T loops). Lineage: Bacteria; Pseudomonadati; Thermodesulfobacteriota; Desulfovibrionia; Desulfovibrionales; Desulfoplanaceae. The record is from Rfam by way of RNAcentral.